UACGUAGGGUGCUAGCGUUGUCCGGAUUUAUUGGGCGUAAAGGGCUCGUAGGCGGCGUGUCGCGUCGGGAGUGAAAGUCCGGGGCUCAACUCCGGAUCUGCGGUGGGUACGGGCAGACUAGAGUGAUGUAGGGGAGACUGGAAUUCCUGGUGUAGCGGUGAAAUGCGUAGAGAUCGGGAGGAACAUCAGUUGCGAAGGCGGCUCUCUGGACCAGCACUGACACUGAGGCACGAAAGCGUGGG
RNAcentral lists this ribosomal RNA (242 nucleotides) under uncultured bacterium. RNAcentral's name for it is "partial 16S ribosomal RNA". It matches the Rfam family "Bacterial small subunit ribosomal RNA", at positions 524 to 765 of the family's 1533-position model. The record is from RNAcentral.